UUACUGGUUUGGGGUAAGCUCUUCGCCAGC
RNAcentral lists this non-coding RNA (30 nucleotides) under Mus musculus (house mouse). Lineage: Eukaryota; Metazoa; Chordata; Mammalia; Rodentia; Muridae. The record is from RNAcentral.